UGGGGAAUUUUGGACGAAUUGGGCGAAGGCCUGAUCCAGCAAUGCCGCGUGUGUGAAGAAGGCCUUCGGGUUGUAAAGCACUUUUGUCCGGAAAGAAAUCCUUGGCUCUAAUACAGUCGGGGGAUGACGGUACCGGAAGAAUAAGCACCGGCUAACUACGUGCCAGCAGCCGCGGUAAUACGUAGGGUGCAAGCGUUAAUCGGAAUUACUGGGCGUAAAGCGUGCGCAGGCGGUCCGCUAAGACAGAUGUGAAAUCCCCGGGCUUAACCUGGGAACUGCAUUUGUGACUGGCGGGCUAGAGUAUGGCAGAGGGGGUAGAAUUCCACGUGUAGCAGUGAAAUGCGUAGAGAUGGUGGAGGAAUACCGAUGGCGAAGGCAGCCCCCUGGGCCAAUACUGACGCUCAUGCACGAAAGCGUGGGGGAGCAAA
Molecule: ribosomal RNA, 428 nt
Filed under: uncultured bacterium
Lineage: Bacteria
Description: partial 16S ribosomal RNA
Rfam family: Bacterial small subunit ribosomal RNA
Source: RNAcentral